GAUGAACGCUGGCGGCGUGCUUAACACAUGCAAGUCGAACGGAAAGGCCCUGCUUUUGUGGGGUUCUCGAGUGGCGAACGGGGGAGUAACACGUGAGUAACCUGCCCUUGACUUUCGGAUAACAUCACGAAACUGGGGCUAAUAUCGGAUAGGAGCUCCUGCUGCAUGGGGGGCGUUGGAAAGUUUCGGCGGUAGGGGAUGGAUUGGCGGCUUAUCAGCUUGUUGGUGGGGUAGUGACUUACCAAGUGUUUGACGGGUAGCCGGCCUGGGAGGGGAGACGGGGACAAGGGGACUAAGGGACGCAGCAGACGCCAAUGGUAGGCAGCAGGGGGGAGUAUUACACAAUGAGCGGAAGCGUGAUACGACGGCGCCGCGUGCGGAAUGACGGCCUUCGGGUUAUGAACCGAUUUCGAAUGUGACGAAGCGUGAGUGACGGUAAUGGAUAAAGAAGCACCGGCUAACUACGUG
This 468-nucleotide ribosomal RNA is filed under the name uncultured bacterium. RNAcentral describes it as "partial 16S ribosomal RNA". It matches the Rfam family "Bacterial small subunit ribosomal RNA", at positions 28 to 507 of the family's 1533-position model. The record is from RNAcentral.